CUUGCCCGACGCGCUGAGAGGAGGUGCAUGGCCGUCGCCAGCUCGUGCCGUGAGGUGUCCGGUUAAGUCCGGCAACGAGCGAGACCCCCGCCCCUAGUUGCUCCCCUGGGGGCCACCCCAGGGGCACACUAGGGGGACUGCCGCCGUCUAAGGCGGAGGAAGGAGGGGGCCACGGCAGGUCAGCAUGCCCCGAAUCCCCCGGGCUGCACGCGGGCUACAAUGGCGGGGACAGCGGGAUCCGACCCCGAAAGGGGGAGGCAAUCCCUUAAACCCCGCCGUAGUUGGGAUCGAGGGCUGCAACUCGCCCUCGUGAACCAGGAAUCCCUAGUAACCGCGCGUUAGCAUCGCGCGGUGAAUACGUCCCUGCUCCU
Molecule: ribosomal RNA, 371 nt
Filed under: uncultured archaeon
Lineage: Archaea
Description: bacterial SSU rRNA
Rfam family: Archaeal small subunit ribosomal RNA
Source: RNAcentral